RNAcentral lists this long non-coding RNA (204 nucleotides) under Vigna radiata. Its description in RNAcentral is "long non-coding RNA (VRAD_LNC005414)". Lineage: Eukaryota; Viridiplantae; Streptophyta; Magnoliopsida; Fabales; Fabaceae. The record is from RNAcentral.
UGGAAUAUGAUAUUAAACAGUAGUAGACUCAGUGUUUGGUUUGUUGGUGGUCUCACGUAGAGAAAAAUCAAUUUCAUGAUCGGUUUCAUCUAAAUUAUUAUUAUCAAUGGUAGAACCAAGAGAAACAAUUUCAUGAUUAGUUUCAUCUAUAUUGAUAUUAUCAAAGAUAGGAUCAGAAGGUGCCUCUGAAGAGUCAACCCGAAC